RNAcentral lists this ribosomal RNA (493 nucleotides) under uncultured bacterium. Its description in RNAcentral is "partial 16S ribosomal RNA". It matches the Rfam family "Bacterial small subunit ribosomal RNA", at positions 30 to 523 of the family's 1533-position model. The record is from RNAcentral.
AUUGAACGCUGGCGGAAUGCUUUACACAUGCAAGUCGAACGGUAACAGGUUAAGCUGACGAGUGGCGAACGGGUGAGUAAUACAUCGGAACGUGCCCAGUCGUGGGGGAUAACGUAGAGAAAUUUACGCUAAUACCGCAUACGAUCUAAGGAUGAAAGCGGGGGACCGUAAGGCCUCGCGCGAUUGGAGCGGCCGAUGUCAGAUUAGGUAGUUGGUGGGGUAAAGGCCUACCAAGCCGACGAUCUGUAGCUGGUCUGAGAGGACGACCAGCCACACUGGGACUGAGACACGGCCCAGACUCCUACGGGAGGCAGCAGUGGGGAAUUUUGGACAAUGGGCGCAAGCCUGAUCCAGCCAUUCCGCGUGCAGGAUGAAGGCCCUCGGGUUGUAAACUGCUUUUGUACAGAACGAAAAGGUCUGGGUUAAUACCCUGGGCUCAUGACGGUACUGUAAGAAUAAGCACCGGCUAACUACGUGCCAGCCGCCGCCGUAA